CUCCGGGUAUCCCAAACCCGCCUUGCUGUAGUGCUUAGGCGGGGAUCCCCAUCGCAUCCCUCUCUCCAAGGACCAUACCGUGCCUGUGUCGGGUAUCUCGCUUUCCACACAAUGGCGACUCUUUGAGAUUCUGCGUUUUUCCACCAGAAUGCGAUAUGUGGCAGAGGUUCCAGGAAUGUCACCAUCAGUGUGAGACACAGCUGCAGCUUCCCUUCUUUGUUCUUCUUGGUCCAGACCAUCCUUCUGACUAUCAUCUGAGACCUCAAGACGGGACUCAUGGUUAAGGCUACACUGCGGGGCCAACUCUGGGAACUCUGUGAAGAGCCAGUGGCGGUCUUUGAAGAAACGAUUCUCAUGGAUUGUAUGCUUCUUGUUCCUCGGUCCACUCCACAUUGUCCCUGUUGACGACAGAACGUGAUGGUCCAGUGUGGAAGAAGUGAUGUGGUGAAGAACAGAACAGAAACACAAACAUUCACAAUCUUGAGAUACUUCAAGGUUUUAGUGUGAUAUUCUGACUCAGGAUGGGUGAUCAUAUCUUAUAUAUUAAUAUCUGCAAGAGAGCAAACUAAUACAAUUAUGUUUGUUGGAUUAACUGCAUGAGAUGCAGUUUUCAAACAAUAUUAAAAUAUGUUAUUAAAAUCUCAUUACAUGA
Molecule: long non-coding RNA, 652 nt
Organism: Dicentrarchus labrax (European seabass)
Lineage: Eukaryota; Metazoa; Chordata; Actinopteri; Moronidae
Exons: 3
Source: RefSeq, a predicted model, not a curated record